This 435-nucleotide ribosomal RNA is filed under the name uncultured bacterium. RNAcentral's name for it is "bacterial SSU rRNA". It matches the Rfam family "Bacterial small subunit ribosomal RNA", at positions 954 to 1392 of the family's 1533-position model. The record is from RNAcentral.
GCAGAACGCGAAGAACCUUACCCACCUUUGACAUGUACGGAAUUUGCCAGAGAUGGCUUAGUGCUCGAAAGAGAACCGUAACACAGGUGCUGCAUGGCUGUCGUCAGCUCGUGUCGUGAGAUGUUGGGUUAAGUCCCGCAACGAGCGCAACCCUUGCCAUUAGUUGCUACGAAAGGGCACUCUAAUGGGACUGCCGGUGACAAACCGGAGGAAGGUGGGGAUGGACGUCAAGUCCUCAUGGCCCUUAUAGGUGGGGCUACACACGUCAUACAAUGGCUGGGUACAAAGGGUUGCCAACCCGCGAGGGGAGCCAAUCCCAUAAAGCCAGUCGUAGUCCGGAUCGCAGUCUGCAACUCGACUGCGUGAAGUCGGAAUCGCUAGUAAUCGUGGAUCAGCAUGUCACGGUGAAUACGUUCCCGGGUCUUGUACACACCG